Molecule: ribosomal RNA, 403 nt
Filed under: uncultured bacterium
Lineage: Bacteria
Description: partial 16S ribosomal RNA
Rfam family: Bacterial small subunit ribosomal RNA
Source: RNAcentral
AUUGAACGCUGGCGGCAGGCCUAACACAUGCAAGUCGAGCGAGAGGCGGACGGGUGAGUAAUGUAUGGGGACUGCCCGCUAGAGGGGGAUAACUACUGGAAACGGUGGCUAAUAACGCAUACUAUCGGAUAACCCAUAUGGGGUUAGCUAGUAGGUGGGGUAAAGGCUCACCUAGGCGACGAUCUCUAGCUGGUCUGAGAGGAUGAACAGCCACACUGGGACUGAGACAUGGUCCAGAAUCCUACGGAGGCAGCAGUGGGGAAUAUUGAACAAUGGGCGAAAGCCUGAUGCAGCCAUGCCGCGUGUAUGAAGAAGGCCUUAGGGUUGUAAAGUACUUUCAGCGGGGAGGCGUUACCAUCAGAAGAAGCACCGGCUAACUCCGUGCCAGCCGCCGCGGUAAUUC